GCGGGUGUCGUUCAGUGGUAGGACUCCUGCCUUCCAAGCAGGUAGCGGGGGUUCGAUUCCCCCCACCCGCA
Candidatus Kaiserbacteria bacterium is the source of this 71-nucleotide non-coding RNA. NCBI's taxonomy places the organism in Bacteria, Candidatus Kaiseribacteriota. The record is from Rfam.